RNAcentral lists this long non-coding RNA (408 nucleotides) under Mytilus galloprovincialis (Mediterranean mussel). The record is from RNAcentral. Lineage: Eukaryota; Metazoa; Mollusca; Bivalvia; Mytilida; Mytilidae.
GUCCCAAAUUGUGUGACGCACAAGAACAACAAAAAAAACUUGUGCAGACAACCUGCAAUACGAAUCCACUGUCUAGAAUAACGUUUUGCCUGGAAUUUCAGGAGAGCUGAAGGUACCAAAGUCAUUGUAAGGAAAACGUUUUUUCUUGGUUUUUUUUUCUGUACUGCGUUUGUUGUGCUCGGUUUGGGCUUUUUUAUUGAACUUAAACUCAAAUAUAGGUCAUCAUACAUUUUCACUAUCAGCAGUUUUUAAAAAGGUUUAAAAAUUCCUAUGAAUUAAAAAUUCACAUGAUUUGAAAGCGCCAAAAUCUUCAGCGAAUGUACUUGCAACGGUUAAAAUUAACCUAGUGCAUGUACAAUUCAAAACAUUGCAAGUAUACAAACAUAUCACUGGACUAGUAUAUAUUUG